CCAAGGAGUCUAACAUGUGCGCGAGUCUAAGGGUUUUAAGAACCUGGAGGCGAAAUGAAAGUGAGCUGGCAGAGCAGGCCGAUCCCCGGCCGGUGACUGAGGCGGAUGGUCGGGCAGUGACUGCGUGCAGCCAUUGUUCCGGACGCCGUCGUGGUACCGGUGCUCCUCCGUGAGGGGGAGAUGCUAGAGUGCAGGGGCGCAGGCCAAGGACUUGCCUUAGGGUGAUGUUGGAGGGCUCGCGGCACGCUUCCUAAGGCCCUCUGACUUUGGCCGGCAAGUACCUGAGAGCGCACUGGUUGGGACCCGAAAGAUGGUGAACUAUGCCUGGCGAGGACGAAGCCAGAGGAAACUCUGGUGGAGGUCCGAAGCAGUUCUGACGUGCAAAUCGAUUGUCAGAGCUGGGUAUAGGGGCGAAAGACUAAUCGAACCAUCUAGUAGCUGGUUCCCUCCGAAGUUUCCCUCAGGAUAGCUGGCAUUCGGAGGUUAAGUUUCAUCUGGUAAANCCAAUGAUUAGAGGUCUUGGGGGUGCAAUGCCCUCAACCUAUUCUCAAACUUUAAAUGGGUGAGAUGUAGAGCUUUGCUUAAUUAGUGAAGCUGUAUUGAUGAGAAUUAGAAUGCUUAGUGGGCCACUUUUGGUAAGCAGAACUGGCGCUGUGGGAUGAACCAAACGUACGAGUUAAGGGGCCUAAAUGAAUGCUAAUUUUGACACUCUGAAAAGGUGUUGGUUGCUAUAGACAGCAGGGCGGUGGCCAUGGAAGUUGGAAUCCGCUAAGGAGUGUGUAACAACUCACCUGCCGAAGCAACUAGCCCUUAAAAUGGUAUGGCGCUGAAGCAUUCUCCCGAUACUCGGCCGCCGGGGCAUUAGAUGGCCAUUAAGUUGGUGUUUUAGCCCUGGUGAGUAGGAGGGUCGCAGCGGUGUGCGUCGAAGGGAUCCGGUGUAGGCCGGCCUGGAGCCGCCGCUGGCGCAGAUCUUGGUGGUAGUAGCAAAUAAUCAAGAGAGAACCUCGUUGACUGAUGUGGGGAAGGGUUCCAUGUCAACAUCAGUUGAACAUGGGUGAGUCAGGCCUAAGCCCAAGGACAGAUGUCCUGCAUGCCACGUGUUCC
RNAcentral lists this ribosomal RNA (1104 nucleotides) under Typhlocaris salentina. Its description in RNAcentral is "eukaryotic LSU rRNA". It matches the Rfam family "Eukaryotic large subunit ribosomal RNA", at positions 666 to 1581 of the family's 3401-position model. The record is from RNAcentral. Lineage: Eukaryota; Metazoa; Arthropoda; Malacostraca; Decapoda; Typhlocarididae.